This 253-nucleotide ribosomal RNA is filed under the name uncultured bacterium. Its description in RNAcentral is "partial 16S ribosomal RNA". It matches the Rfam family "Bacterial small subunit ribosomal RNA", at positions 524 to 776 of the family's 1533-position model. The record is from RNAcentral.
UACGUAGGGUGCGAGCGUUAAUCGGAAUUACUGGGCGUAAAGUGUGCGCAGGCGGCCGAGCAAGUCGAGUGUGAAAGCCCCGAGCUUAACUUGGGAACUGCGCUCGAAACUACUUGGCUGGAGUGUGGCAGAGGGAGGUGGAAUUCCACGUGUAGCGGUGAAAUGCGUAGAGAUGUGGAGGAACACCGAUGGCGAAGGCAGCCUCCUGGGCCAACACUGACGCUCAUGCACGAAAGCGUGGGGAGCAAACAGG